This 253-nucleotide ribosomal RNA is filed under the name uncultured bacterium. Its description in RNAcentral is "partial 16S ribosomal RNA". It matches the Rfam family "Bacterial small subunit ribosomal RNA", at positions 524 to 776 of the family's 1533-position model. The record is from RNAcentral.
AACGUAGGACGCAAGCGUUAUCCGGAAUUACUGGGCGUAAAGGGCUCGUAGGUGGCCAACUAAGUCAUACGUGAAAUCCCUCGGCUUAACCGGGGAACUGCGUCUGAUACUGGUUGGCUUGAGUUUGGGAGAGGGAUGCGGAAUUCCAGGUGUAGCGGUGAAAUGCGUAGAUAUCUGGAGGAACACCGGUGGCGAAGGCGGCAUCCUGGACCAAUACUGACACUGAGGAGCGAAAGCCAGGGGAGCAAACGGG